RNAcentral lists this transfer RNA (63 nucleotides) under Nephotettix parvus. Its description in RNAcentral is "tRNA-Gly". Lineage: Eukaryota; Metazoa; Arthropoda; Insecta; Hemiptera; Cicadellidae. The record is from RNAcentral.
AUUCAUUUAGUAUAAAAAGUAUAUUAAGCUUCCAACUUUAAGGUUUUAUUUUAAAAAUGGAUA